CGUCAAAUGAUCGCUGGAGCCGCCGAAAAAGGUGUCGAAAUCACCGGAAGCUCGAAACUUAUCGGCUUCGAUUCUCCCAUCUUCGGCCGAUUCGAGUUAAAUGGCGAGUACUAAGACGAUCAGCGAGGCAAAGGCGGCUUGAGGUGGUCUGAAAAGGAAUCUUUGGUCGGGUUGAGCGCGCGGCCUUCCGAGCUCUUUUUUGCUUUGAUUCGCUCCACUGGUUGAUGAUUGGAGCAAGGGACGACCGGAAACCUCACUGGCGAGAGAAGGUGCGUCAAAAACGGCUGGUACGUCGUCCGGAGGUGGCCGGAAGGCGGAGAACCAGUCUGAUCUCCGGGUUCGGGUCUGGUCAAGUGACGGGUCGC
Molecule: long non-coding RNA, 365 nt
Filed under: Rosa chinensis
Lineage: Eukaryota; Viridiplantae; Streptophyta; Magnoliopsida; Rosales; Rosaceae
Description: sRNA RchiOBHm_Chr2g0119371
Source: RNAcentral